This 29-nucleotide non-coding RNA is filed under the name Mus musculus (house mouse). Lineage: Eukaryota; Metazoa; Chordata; Mammalia; Rodentia; Muridae. The record is from RNAcentral.
CAGGUGUUCUGGGGGCUUGCUCCAAUCGC